RNAcentral lists this small nuclear RNA (171 nucleotides) under Colius striatus (speckled mousebird). Its description in RNAcentral is "U2 spliceosomal RNA". It matches the Rfam family "U2 spliceosomal RNA". From Rfam's summary of the family: U2 is a small nuclear RNA (snRNA) component of the spliceosome (involved in pre-mRNA splicing). Complementary binding between U2 snRNA (in an area lying towards the 5' end but 3' to hairpin I) and the branchpoint sequence (BPS) of the intron results the bulging out of an unpaired adenosine, on the BPS, which initiates a nucleophilic attack at the intronic 5' splice site, thus starting the first of two transesterification reactions that mediate splicing. Lineage: Eukaryota; Metazoa; Chordata; Aves; Coliiformes; Coliidae. The record is from Rfam by way of RNAcentral.
AUCGCUUCUCUGCCUUUUGGCUAAGAUCAAGUGUAGUGUAGGUCUUAUGGUUCGGAAUAUCCCUUUGGACAGUCCUGGCUAUGUCCACUUUCAAGAUCUUGCUGACCUCCUUCUACUGGUGGAGGGACAGUGUUGGACAGACAGCCUUGAUGCUGUGAUAGUCAAAACACU